Molecule: long non-coding RNA, 2459 nt
Filed under: Canis lupus familiaris (dog)
Lineage: Eukaryota; Metazoa; Chordata; Mammalia; Carnivora; Canidae
Description: lncRNA (ENSCAFG00000051270.1)
Source: RNAcentral
AGAGUUAUGGGAUUGAAGCUACAACUGUCUACUCACUAACAAUUUUGCAGGUCAGGAUGUUGUCAUAAAGAACCUUCCAAUAGUGAUAUUGUAGGGCCAUCUUAUACUACAACCUACUUUCAUUCAGAAUCAGCCAUUGUCAGGUCUAAGUUUCUUCACAUCCAGUACUGAAAACAACUAUGAAAUUAACAUUGGGAAAAGCAUUGUAGACUCAGUCCUAAUACUAAUAUUAACUCACUUAUUCAGUCAACUGAAAAGUAAAAAAAAGAAGAAAAAAAAAAAAAAAACGUGGAUGAGGGGCACCUGGGUGGCUCUGUUGGUUAAGUGUCUGACUUUGGCUCAGGUCAUGAUCUCAAAGUCCUGGGAUUGAGCCCAGAGAUUCAGCUCUGCACUCAGUGGGGAGUCUGUUCUCCCUCUCCCUCUGCCCCUCCUCCUCCCCGAUUGUGUACGCUCUCUCUCUCAAAGAAAUAAGUAAAAUCUUUUUUAAAAGAUUUAAAGGUAUAUGUAAAAUAUAUCAAACAUAUAUAAUCCAAACACUAGUCUUUCUGCAAAUCAAAACAACUCUCUUAGAUGCCUGAAAUAGCAGAAUUAGUCUACCCAAAAUAAUUAGUCCUAUAUCUCGAAUCCUUUCUUAUAAAACUAGUCCCCUAUCAGUCUUUGAAACUUUUAAACUACUUUUAUUAUCUCUAAUACAUAGGAAGUACCUUUCCAGCCUUUCUAAUCAGUACAUAAUUAUAAAAUGUCAAUCAACAGUCACAAGCAAUUAUUGAUAGCAGUAUUAUGAAAUAGUUUGUAAAAUAGCAGUAACAGUCAAGGAUGCCUCAUUUCACCACUCUGCCCUACUGCCUCCCAUGAAAAUAAACUAAGCAAAACAGAGCAAAUUUCCUGAUUCAAUGCAUUCCAAAGCCAUGAUUUGGGUUGUACCUGGCGUUUGGAAUAUUUGGAUUACUGUUCUCCUGACCACAAAAGAUUUUGUUUUUGUUUUCUGUAAGAUAUCCUGAAGUCGUGGUUUAUCAUUUAUCAUACACUGCAAUUAAAUCCAGUCCCACAUGGAAUUUUAAAGGAUGACUAGUUGAAUAAAACCCUUUAAAGCAUGACUUCUGUCAUGUCUCUAUUUGUCAGGGUCACUCCUUGCUUUGUGAUCUUCCUCCUCACAGCUUGAGCCUGGACUGUCUACAGAUGAGCCUUCUGCUAGGAACUUCCAUAUCAUUCCAUGAGACUAUCACAGAAAGGACCUGAGUUCAAAAGAGAGGUAGUGUUAGACUUCCCUCAACUACUGCCUCACAUCUACCAGGUUUCUUGUAACUGACUUAAGGUCUUGGAUAUAUAUCCUCACUUAUCAUAAGAGUUGUCACUUAAUGCCAGGUCCUGUACUGAGCUCAUUACAUGUGCUCAAUCCUCACAGCCUUUGAAGUUAAAUACAACUACUACUUGCCAUUUUGCAAAUGAGCAAGUUUGGUCUCCACUGACUUGCCCAGAUCCUGCAAUCUGGGCAGAUUCUGUAAUCGGUUUGUUGAAUUCUAGAGCUCAAGCUCUUAGCCAUUUGGCUAUGCUAACUGGGUAGGAAAUUCAGCAACAAUUCCAUAAAAACACAGAAAUCAUUAUCUAGCCACGUGCAAAAUAAUUAUUUGUUAAGAGAUUUCAUGAAAAUUAGCAAACAUAUUUUGAAGCUGUUUGCAGGCAACAUACACAAGAUAAAGAAAAAGAACCACUGUUUCUCCUUGAACAACAUUUUUGCAGGAUUUGAUAGGGUCCCUAAAAUAAUUGCAGAUUGCAAGAGACCAGAUACUACGCCAUCCAAAGGUGCUUUGGCUGGUUGCAAUGAUCCCAUAAAGAAACGGACACCACCAUUCAAACUCAGUCUUAUAGACCACCACAAACUAAACUGAGAAUGUAUUUCCAUCUUGUCUUAUUCUGACAUGUUAGCCAAUAAGUGACUUAACUAAUCACCAACUUAAAGAAAUCCCAAAUCUGUAGUUCCUUAGAGAAAAAAGGCUUUCCUUCUUGAAAAUCCCAUUUCUUCCCUUCUUUAUGAAAAGUAGCACUGAAAUGAGCUCAACAUGAAAAGUGGAUAAACUCAGAAGCACUUAGAUUUGAUGAGAUAGCAGCCCAUACAACUGGUUCCCACUCAGUGCUGCACUGAUUAUUUACUUCCCAUACACAAAUAAGGCAAGCCAAAGCUAUUGUCUCUCUCUCCAUAAUUUUAAAUAUGGGAGAAAUAUGAUUUAAGCAAACAAACUUUUAAAUAUGAUUGAAAACAUGCUCAAGAAAGCCACUGACAUGGAGCACCUGGGUGACUCAGUCAGUUAGGAGUCUGCCUUGGGUUCAGGUCCUGAUCCUAGGGUCCUGGAAUAGAGCUCUGCAUCCUCCUCCUCCCCUUCCUCCUCCUAGGAAACCUUUUCCUUCUCCCUCUGCCCUGCCCUCCUGCUUGUGCUCUCGUUUGCGCUCUCUCUCAAAUA